This 863-nucleotide ribosomal RNA is filed under the name Bacillus sp. 13IX/A01/165. RNAcentral's name for it is "bacterial SSU rRNA". It matches the Rfam family "Bacterial small subunit ribosomal RNA", at positions 22 to 865 of the family's 1533-position model. The record is from RNAcentral. Lineage: Bacteria; Bacillati; Bacillota; Bacilli; Caryophanales; Bacillaceae.
GCUCAGGACGAACGCUGGCGGCGUGCCUAAUACAUGCAAGUCGAGCGGACCUUUUAAAAGCUUGCUUUUGAAAGGUCAGCGGCGGACGGGUGAGUAACACGUGGGCAACCUGCCUGUAAGACUGGGAUAACUUCGGGAAACCGGAGCUAAUACCGGAUAAUAUAAGGAACCUCCUGGUUCUUUAUUGAAAGAUGGUUUCGGCUAUCACUUACAGAUGGGCCCGCGGCGCAUUAGCUAGUUGGUGAGGUAACGGCUCACCAAGGCGACGAUGCGUAGCCGACCUGAGAGGGUGAUCGGCCACACUGGGACUGAGACACGGCCCAGACUCCUACGGGAGGCAGCAGUAGGGAAUCUUCCACAAUGGACGAAAGUCUGAUGGAGCAACGCCGCGUGAGCGAUGAAGGCCUUCGGGUCGUAAAGCUCUGUUGUUAGGGAAGAACAAGUGCGAGAGUAACUGCUCGCACCUUGACGGUACCUAACCAGAAAGCCACGGCUAACUACGUGCCAGCAGCCGCGGUAAUACGUAGGUGGCAAGCGUUGUCCGGAAUUAUUGGGCGUAAAGCGCGCGCAGGUGGUCCUUUAAGUCUGAUGUGAAAGCCCACGGCUCAACCGUGGAGGGUCAUUGGAAACUGGGGGACUUGAGUGCAGAAGAGGAAAGUGGAAUUCCAAGUGUAGCGGUGAAAUGCGUAGAGAUUUGGAGGAACACCAGUGGCGAAGGCGACUUUCUGGUCUGUAACUGACACUGAGGCGCGAAAGCGUGGGGAGCAAACAGGAUUAGAUACCCUGGUAGUCCACGCCGUAAACGAUGAGUGCUAAGUGUUAGAGGGUUUCCGCCCUUUAGUGCUGCAGCUAACGCAUUAAGC